GCUAUCUGCCCACUGAUAUAUAUAUAUAUUAAAUGGCCGCAGUAUUUUAACUGUGCAAAGGUAGCAUAAUCAUUAGUCUUUUAAUUGAGGGCUUGUAUGAAUGGUUUGACAAGACAUAUAUUGUUUCAUGAAAAUUUAUAAAAUUUUAUUUUUUAGUUAAAAAGCUAAGAUUUUAUUAAAAGACGAGAAGACCCUAUAGAUCUUUAUAAUUGUUAAAUUUUAUCUGUAAAGUAUAGGUUGGGUAUAAUUUAUAAUAUUAUUUUAUUGGGGUGAUAGUAAGAUUAAAUUAACUCUUAUAUUUUAUAGGUCAUAAAUUAAUGAUUAAUUGAUCCAUUAUUAUUGAUUAUUAAAAUAAGUUACCUUAGGGAUAACAGCGUAAUUUUUUUGGAGAGUUCAUAUCGAUAAAAAGGAUUGCGACCUCGAUGUUGGAUUAAGAGAUAAAUUUGGGCGUAGCCGUCAAUUUUAAAAUCUGUCCGACUU
RNAcentral lists this ribosomal RNA (480 nucleotides) under Trichophthalma sp. SLW-2002. Its description in RNAcentral is "partial 16S ribosomal RNA". It matches the Rfam family "Bacterial large subunit ribosomal RNA", at positions 1854 to 2587 of the family's 2925-position model. The record is from RNAcentral. Lineage: Eukaryota; Metazoa; Arthropoda; Insecta; Diptera; Nemestrinidae.